CCCAGCCCAUGCCCAGGCUUUAUUUAUCCCAGUGCAGCUGGCCUCCAGGGGCUUUUUGAUCCUUAAUCAUGAACCUGGGAGCCCUUUGCGUUCUCUCAAGCAGUCAAGCCAAGAAGGCUUUCUGAUUCCAAUGGCAAUAACCACGCGUGAUUUAUGGACUCUCAGGACCUGGAACAUCAGAGCUGGAGAGAGAGCACUGUGAUACCUCCUGGGACAAACAGACAUGAGGAGAGUGUCCUGCCCUCAACAGCCAAGAGCUUCCCCUUCACUAGAAAGGAGUGGUUGAGAGUCUGCCUGCCAAUGCAGGGGACGCGGGUUCGAGCCCUGGUCUGGGAAGAUCCCACAUGCCGCGGAGCGGCUGGGCCCGUGAGCCACAAUUGCUGAGCCUGCGCGUCUGGAGCCUGUGCUCCGCAACAAGAGAGGCCGCGAUAGUGAGAGGCCCGCGCACCGCGAUGAAGAGUGGCCCCCGCUUGCCGCAACUAGAGAAAGCCCUCGCACAGAAACGAAGACCCAACACAGCCAUGAAU
This is a long non-coding RNA of Balaenoptera ricei (Rice's whale), 527 nucleotides long. RefSeq lists it as uncharacterized. The record is from RefSeq and is a predicted model, not a curated record. Lineage: Eukaryota; Metazoa; Chordata; Mammalia; Artiodactyla; Balaenopteridae. The transcript is spliced from 3 exons.